GACGAACGCUGGCGGCGUGCUUAACACACGCAAGUCGAACGGAAAGGCCCUGCUUUUGUGGGGUGCUCGAGUGGCGAACGGGUGAGUAACACGUGAGUAACCUGCCCUUGACUUUGGGAUAACUUCAGGAAACUGGGGCUAAUACCGGAUAGGAGCUCCUGCUGCAUGGUGGGGGUUGGAAAGUUUCGGCGGUUGGGGAUGGACUCGCGGCUUAUCAGCUUGUUGGUGGGGUAGUGGCUUACCAAGGCUUUGACGGGUAGCCGGCCUGAGUGGGUGACCGGCCACAUUGGGACUGAGAUACGGCCCAGACUCCUACGGGAGGCAGCAGUGGGGAAUAUUGCACAAUGGGCGGAAGCCUGAUGCAGCAACGCCGCGUGCGGGAUGACGGCCUUCGGGUUGUAAACCGCUUUCGCCUGUGACGAAGCGUGAGUGACGGUAAUGGGUAAAGAAGCACCGGCUAACUACGUG
This 468-nucleotide ribosomal RNA is filed under the name uncultured bacterium. RNAcentral's name for it is "partial 16S ribosomal RNA". It matches the Rfam family "Bacterial small subunit ribosomal RNA", at positions 28 to 507 of the family's 1533-position model. The record is from RNAcentral.